Molecule: ribosomal RNA, 545 nt
Filed under: Pestalotiopsis sp. LGMF1151
Lineage: Eukaryota; Fungi; Ascomycota; Sordariomycetes; Amphisphaeriales; Sporocadaceae
Description: eukaryotic LSU rRNA
Rfam family: 5.8S ribosomal RNA (bases 143-296)
Source: RNAcentral
GUUAAAACUCUGACAACAUUGUGACUAUACUUACGUUGCUCGGCGGUCUUACCUACAGCUUACCCUGUAGCGGGCGGAUCGCCGGUGGAAAACCAAACUAUGUUUUUCUUUAGCAUCUGAGAGUCUUAUGAAAAUAAGUCAAAACCUUUAACAACGGAUCUCUUGGUUCUGGCAUCGAUGAAGAACGCAGCGAAAUGCGAUAAGUAAUGUGAAUUGCAGAAUUCAGUGAAUCAUCGAAUCUUUGAACGCACAUUGCGCCCCCCAGCAUUCUGGAGGGCAUGCCUGUUCGAGCGUCAUUAGUACCACUCAAGACCUAGUCUUGGCGUUGGGAGACUACCCGGGAGCUACCAUGUAGCUGUUACCCUGUAGCUCCUCAAAUUCACCGGCGGAGUGACGGUUCUACCUCUGAGCGCAGUAAUAUAUCUCUCGCUUCUGUAGGUGCCGUGGACCUCGCCGCUAAACCCCCAACUUUUACUGGGUUGACCUCGGAUCAGGUAGGAAUACCCGCUGAAAUUAAGCAUAUCAAUAAGCGGAGGAAACGAAAC